GCGUGAGCGACAUGCCCGUUGCCCGGGGACAACCGGUGGAAACGCCGACUAAUCCCCGAUGGGAUAUUGUGCCGCAUGGCACGAUAUUGAAAGUUACGGCGGCGACGGAUUGGCUCGCGUCCGAUUAGCUUGUUGGCGGGGUAACGGCCCACCAAGGCUACGAUCGGUAGGGGUUCUGAGAGGAAGGCCCCCCACAAUGGGACUGAGACACGGCCCAUACUCCUACGGGAGGCAGCAGUGAGGAAUAUUGGUCAAUGGGCGGAAGCCUGAACCAGCCAUGCCGCGUGCGGGAAGGAGGCCCUAUGGGCUGUGAACCGCUUUUGCCUGGGGGCAAUAAGGGCGUCGCGCACGCCCGAUGAGAGUACCAGG
RNAcentral lists this ribosomal RNA (369 nucleotides) under uncultured bacterium. Its description in RNAcentral is "bacterial SSU rRNA". It matches the Rfam family "Bacterial small subunit ribosomal RNA", at positions 115 to 482 of the family's 1533-position model. The record is from RNAcentral.